Molecule: long non-coding RNA, 1220 nt
Organism: Lotus japonicus
Lineage: Eukaryota; Viridiplantae; Streptophyta; Magnoliopsida; Fabales; Fabaceae
Exons: 4
Source: RefSeq, a predicted model, not a curated record
UUCUCUUCACCUCAUUCACAAGCCCUAGGAAGACGAAACAAACGUGCGAUUUCCACUCGGAACUCUCCUUCCUUGCCACCCCAGUUGGAGAAGAUUGAAGAUUCACGGUUCCCUUCCAUGGAGAAUGCUGAAAAACACGGUAACUCUAUCUGUCUCUUGAAUCUUCCUGAACUCAUUCUUGAUUGCAUCCUCAAACGCCUCUCACCAAUGGAGCUCAUCAAAAUGUCCGAGGUGUGCACUUGUUUAAGGGAUGCAUGUAGAAGCGAUCAUCUGUGGGAAAACCUCAUCAACCAGAAAUGGGGUAGAAUCAUUAAUGGUGAGUCUACUUUCAAAGAGUGGCAAUGGCACCUAACAAAAUUGAAUUCAAUAGAAACCCUCUUUAACAUCAAUCUGGAUUGGUCACUUGGGUCUUUGUGUGGUUCUUUGCAUGAGCUAUGCAUUGGCUCAUAUCUAGAAGGUUGUGGGCAUGUUCAGAGGUUCUUGUCAAAUAAUCCCAUGAUGGGUCUUUACUUGUCUCUAGACACUGGCAAGUUCUGGUUUCCAGCUCAAGUGUACUGCGAUUGCGCUCUCGUUUCCAACGUCUUAUUUAGCUAUGACUCCAACACUGAUACCUUUAAAGCAAGGGCACCAAGUUGGGGAUGGAAGGUUAUAGGGCACGGUUUCCGCUGGGAAAAGCUGAGAAUUUCCCCAGUUGAAGACCCUACAUGUGUUCGUUACUUCUGUGACUGUUUGGAAGACUUAUAGCCUGUUGAUCAUGUCGAGAUCCAAUACAAAGAAAGGCGUGAAGCUCAUUAUGAUUGGUUAUACGGUAUUAUUGAUCACUUGGACUCAUGUAAUGAGAAUGAGGGUUACUGUAGCUGUCGUGAUUCAGGGACGCUGGUUGUAAGGCUCAGGGAUUACCUUGAUGGGCAACUUGCCGGAAUUACGCAAGUCUAUCUACCAAGAGAUAAUAUUGGGAGAGAAGGAGACAUGCGCACUGGAUUCUAUGGAGGAAUCAGAAAGCUUAACAGUGAAGAAGAGAUUCAAAAAUGGAUGGAGCAAUUUAGCUAAUGAUCGUUGCUUGUUCACAGAGCAAAACUUUGCAUUUCAAUAUAUUUUAUUGUAGGUAAUGGUUUUUGCUGUGAAAUUUCUAUUAGCAAAACACAUGAAAUGAAUUAUGGCAGUCAGAUUUUAAUCCCAGUCUAAUAGUGUAUGGUUACUCAUUUUCGAGUUUUUCUCCA